This is a non-coding RNA of Stomoxys calcitrans (stable fly), 75 nucleotides long. The record is from Rfam. Lineage: Eukaryota; Metazoa; Arthropoda; Insecta; Diptera; Muscidae.
UGGCUAUAGUUAGCGUUUGUUUUAUUUGGUAGUGUUCUGUUAAAGGCUAUCAUAAGACACACGCGGCUAUGGCCG